UGUAGCUCAAUGGUAAAGUGUGUGCUUUGCAAGCAUGAGGCCCUGGGUUCCAUCCCCAGCA
This 61-nucleotide transfer RNA is filed under the name Ictidomys tridecemlineatus (thirteen-lined ground squirrel). Its description in RNAcentral is "Spermophilus tridecemlineatus (thirteen-lined ground squirrel) tRNA". It matches the Rfam family "tRNA", at positions 6 to 65 of the family's 71-position model. From Rfam's summary of the family: Transfer RNA (tRNA) molecules are approximately 80 nucleotides in length. Their secondary structure includes four short double-helical elements and three loops (D, anti-codon, and T loops). Lineage: Eukaryota; Metazoa; Chordata; Mammalia; Rodentia; Sciuridae. The record is from Rfam by way of RNAcentral.